This 72-nucleotide transfer RNA is filed under the name Sus scrofa (pig). It matches the Rfam family "tRNA". From Rfam's summary of the family: Transfer RNA (tRNA) molecules are approximately 80 nucleotides in length. Their secondary structure includes four short double-helical elements and three loops (D, anti-codon, and T loops). Lineage: Eukaryota; Metazoa; Chordata; Mammalia; Artiodactyla; Suidae. The record is from Rfam by way of RNAcentral.
UCUCUGGGGGUCUAGUGGUUAGGACAUGGCCCUUUCACUGCCAUGGUCCAGGUUCAAAUUCUGGUUUGGGAA